ACCAAACAAGAGAAGAAACUUGCUUGGUAAUAUAAAUUUAACUUUAAAUUAACUU
This 55-nucleotide unclassified non-coding RNA is filed under the name Human respirovirus 3. Lineage: Riboviria; Orthornavirae; Negarnaviricota; Monjiviricetes; Mononegavirales; Paramyxoviridae. The record is from RNAcentral.